RNAcentral lists this transfer RNA (87 nucleotides) under Candidatus Jorgensenbacteria bacterium. RNAcentral's name for it is "tRNA-Leu". It matches the Rfam family "tRNA". Rfam says of the family: Transfer RNA (tRNA) molecules are approximately 80 nucleotides in length. Their secondary structure includes four short double-helical elements and three loops (D, anti-codon, and T loops). Further hydrogen bonds mediate the characteristic L-shaped molecular structure. tRNAs have two regions of fundamental functional importance: the anti-codon, which is responsible for specific mRNA codon recognition, and the 3' end, to which the tRNAs corresponding amino acid is attached (by aminoacyl-tRNA synthetases). tRNAs cope with the degeneracy of the genetic code in two manners: having more than one tRNA (with a specific anti-codon) for a particular amino acid; and 'wobble' base-pairing, i.e. permitting non-standard base-pairing at the 3rd anti-codon position. Lineage: Bacteria; Candidatus Joergenseniibacteriota. The record is from RNAcentral.
GCCCAGGUGUCGGAACUGGUAGACGAGCUGGCUUGAGGGGCCAGUGAGCGCAAGCUCGUGCGGGUUCGACUCCCGCCCUGGGCACAA